Molecule: long non-coding RNA, 685 nt
Organism: Callorhinchus milii (elephant shark)
Lineage: Eukaryota; Metazoa; Chordata; Chondrichthyes; Chimaeriformes; Callorhinchidae
Exons: 2
Source: RefSeq, a predicted model, not a curated record
AGGUGAUGGGCUUCCACAUGUGUCAGAGUGACCCCCCAAAAAAAUGGACACGGAGUGGAGAAGACCAGCGAGGCGGUCAUUGGAGAAAUCAAGCAUUUCAAGUGGUUUCAUCGUGAAGCAUGACAUCAAGGCAAGUUGUUGUGGAUUGUUGUUCCAGCACUCAGUGACCAGUAAUAAUCCUCUGCAUUAGCAUGAAUUGUCCCUGGUGUUCACAGAGUGGCAGUACAACAUCAUCAAUCAGCACUUUGCCGACUGCUCAGACGGGCUCCCUCCGGAGGACACUCUCACUCCCUGCUGAACGAGCAUCUCUUCUCUCUCACCUGUCUGUCUGUUGAGGUGGACAUUCACAAUCCUGCAACACUAUCAGGAAAAGAGAAAGGAGGUUCUCCACUGCAGAGUCCUGGCCAACAAUUCCCCAAGUAAAAUUGUGGCUGUUUGUGGGUUGGUCUCCCAGUCCUGCUGUCUUUUUAUUCAGCCCUCAUCAGGACGUGAACUGCCAAGUUCCUCUCCAUCUCAUUCCAUCCCUUUGUUUCAGAUGAUCUUUUAUGUGAAAGUUUGAGUGUUUGAUUUUACACAACAGUAGGCACACAUUCUGGUUGAUAGCACACAUUCUGGUUGAUAACUGGCACAGAUUGUACAACUCAACACAAGCAAAUAAACUUUAUCACAAGUAAUUCUAAUAAGA